RNAcentral lists this transfer RNA (65 nucleotides) under Labidostomis taxicornis. RNAcentral's name for it is "tRNA-Leu". It matches the Rfam family "tRNA". Rfam says of the family: Transfer RNA (tRNA) molecules are approximately 80 nucleotides in length. Their secondary structure includes four short double-helical elements and three loops (D, anti-codon, and T loops). Further hydrogen bonds mediate the characteristic L-shaped molecular structure. tRNAs have two regions of fundamental functional importance: the anti-codon, which is responsible for specific mRNA codon recognition, and the 3' end, to which the tRNAs corresponding amino acid is attached (by aminoacyl-tRNA synthetases). tRNAs cope with the degeneracy of the genetic code in two manners: having more than one tRNA (with a specific anti-codon) for a particular amino acid; and 'wobble' base-pairing, i.e. permitting non-standard base-pairing at the 3rd anti-codon position. The record is from RNAcentral. Lineage: Eukaryota; Metazoa; Arthropoda; Insecta; Coleoptera; Chrysomelidae.
UCUAAUAUGGCAGAAUAGUGCAUUGGAUUUAAGACCCAAAUAUAAAGCGCCAGCUUUUUUUAGAA